RNAcentral lists this ribosomal RNA (467 nucleotides) under uncultured bacterium. RNAcentral's name for it is "partial 16S ribosomal RNA". It matches the Rfam family "Bacterial small subunit ribosomal RNA", at positions 28 to 506 of the family's 1533-position model. The record is from RNAcentral.
GACGAACGCUGGCGGCGUGCUUAACACAUGCAAGUCGAACGGAAAGGCCCUGCUUUUGUGGGGUGCUCGAGUGGCGAACGGGUGAGUAACACGUGAGUAACCUGCCCUUGACUUUGGGAUAACUUCAGGAAACUGGGGCUAAUACCGGAUAGGAGCUCCUGCUGCAUGGUGGGGGUUGGAAAGUUUCGGCGGAUGGGGAUGGACUCGCGGCUUAUCAGCUUGUUGGUGGGGUAGUGGCUUACCAAGGCUUUGACGGGUAGCCGGACUGAGAGGGUGACCGGCCACAUUGGGACUGAGAUACGGCCCAGACUCCUACGGGAGGCAGGAGUGGGGAAUAUUGCACAAUGGGCGGAAGCCGGAUGCAGCAACGCCGCGUGCGGGAUGACGGCCUUCGGGUUGUAAACCGCUUUCGCCUGUGACGAAGCGUGAGUGACGGUAAUGGGUAAAGAAGCACCGGCUAACUACGU